UCCAGGCCCUACGGGGUGCAGCAGGCGCGAAAACUUUACAAUGCCGGCAACGGCGAUAAGGGGACCUCGAGUGCCAGGUUACAAAUCUGGCUGUCGUGAUGCCUAAAAAGCAUUGC
RNAcentral lists this ribosomal RNA (116 nucleotides) under uncultured bacterium. RNAcentral's name for it is "partial 16S ribosomal RNA". It matches the Rfam family "Archaeal small subunit ribosomal RNA", at positions 315 to 432 of the family's 1478-position model. The record is from RNAcentral. RNAcentral also lists the same sequence under 1 other name.